UUUGAUUUCACUUUCGGUGGCUCCCAUGGAGAUGCCCAGAAUUUCGUAUAGCGACGGAGGAGAAAUGACAGCCGACGGAGAGGUUGCAACGUAGAGGGUCUCGGCGGUGGCGUAAAGGGUGGCGGAUGGAGGUGGAGUGCGAGGUGAUCGGAUGCUAGGAGAAGUUGGAGACUGUAGAGUGCCGGUGGUGGAGUGAAGUGCUUGUCGCGGCGGUGGUCGGAGGCGGAGGGAAUUGGGAGUAGAUACGGGGGAAAACAUGAUGGAUAGUGUGUGGUUGCU
This 279-nucleotide long non-coding RNA is filed under the name Lactuca sativa (garden lettuce). RNAcentral's name for it is "long non-coding RNA (LSAT_LNC002471)". Lineage: Eukaryota; Viridiplantae; Streptophyta; Magnoliopsida; Asterales; Asteraceae. The record is from RNAcentral.